CUAUCUACGUAACUUUACCGAAAAACCCAAAGAAUAUCUGCAUUUAUCUUUAAACAAAACAAAGUUGUAUUCUAAAAACUACCGUUAUUCGCAUUACAGCAUGGCCUAGACAUAUAUAUAUUUUUUUUUACUCUAUAUUUUAUUAUCGGGUUUUAUGAACAUGUGAUCCAACUGUUGUCAGCAAUCCAUUGGUCCGGCGUAUUAUUCCUCCCCUCCUUAAGAGUCUCGUGCAAGAUCUAUGCGCGCAAGCCUUGCAUGCAAUGGCAUCACAAACACAGGGAGCUUGCUUGAUCAAAUGGCUUGUGGGAACCAACUUUCCAAUAUGAUUAAUUAACCACUUUAGUAAUUAUGUGUUGCGAGCAAUUAAAAUACUAAUCAUUGUAAAAUGUCUUCCUAACCAGGAUUUACAUGUAUCAGCUGCAGAUAGAGUUUCAAAAUAAAGUUUUUUUUCCAACUUCCACAAAUCGUCAUCAUCAAUCACCCACGCUACUCUUUUAGAGGUUGGUUGUUUCCUUACACAGUCACUGCGACUGAUUGAAUAAAAUCUAAAUAUGAGUAAAUUGUUACCAUUUACGCGAUUAAUCAUGGUUUUCCUCCACCAAAGCUGAAGUGAGGUGAGUAAUUAGUCAUUAUGUUGUAUAUUUUUCCACUCAAGUUAUCAUUGGCAUCAUUUCAUAAGUUACAACUGUCUUGUCAAGGAUGUUCAAUGAUAUCAAUAACUCACCUGAAAAAAAAAAACAUGUUGGUCAUUAGAUCAAGGUGUCACUUUGCCCGAUGUACGCCACUCAGAUUGAAAAAAAAAACCUCCCAGAAGAAUGUUACAGGUAAAGGAAAUGAAAUGCAGCCCUCCUAUUUCAUGCUCACAUCACAGCUGGCGGGAGGAGCCAACUCUCCCUGCAUGUCACGAAAGCUUUAAAUAAAAAUUUCUCCCGCCACUUGUCACACGUCUUCUUGGAUAGAGUUGGACAUAUCCCAAACUUGACCCGCCCCUCCAAACGCAACCUGCCGAUGUAACGCAACCUGUGGCGAACUCAUUUUGAGCUGCCGGGGUGCACAGAGACGGGUGAGCGAGGGAGGCAGGGAGGGGGCAGAUUUUAGAAACUUGGACCGCUGUUUCAACCUGCGGCCAAGGGAGAAUAAACCAAACCGACAAACUCUGGAUUCAAAGUCCGGUGCGCUGACCAUCCCACACCCCGGCAGCAGCAUCCCUCUGAAGCAUUUACUGUAUAUCCACUGCAAAAUAAUUGAUGACAAUCAAAGUAGUAACGCAUAUAACAUUGCGAUUGUUUUGUAGUAGUGCAUAUCGCUGUGAACUCUUCAGUGGUUGCAUUGUGUUAGCUUGUAUAGUUUCAAAUACCGCAAUAUAUCACCUCUGAUGAGCACUGGUGGCUAAGUGCGAAGGCUCAAGACCAAUGACUAUCUUGAUUGGAAGCUUUCGUGACUGCAGGAAUCCAUAGUUUAACUCAUAAAAUGUAUCUUACUAAAUGUAUAGCCUAGGAGUAGAUUGCAUCGAACCGGGGACCUCCGGAUUGCAAGUCCAAUGUGUUAUCCAUAUGUAGAUUUCAAACAGCCCAGAGGACAUACGAUUAUAAAAUACAAAAGUAAUAAUUUUCGUUGAUGCACAUUAGUAGCUACAUCACAACGAAUGCCCUUCCGUUGCGUUGUGUUUUCCCAUCACAAGAUGGUUGGCGUAACUGUAACUAAUGAUCAUCGUUAAGUUUUAAUCUCACAAUCUGUAAAUAAAUGUAACGCAUUUUUCACAUUCAGUGUAUACCACGUAUUAAUCAAUUACGCAACUAAUUCACAAGCGCAUUGUUGACAAGUUGUUGCGCUGGAUUAGUGUUGGUUAGCUGUUUUGCAAGCGUGCCCUUAACGUUACGCAUUACCAACAGCGAUGGCCAUGACGCACGAGUGUGGUGGCCGCGAGAUAGGGAAAACGCCUGACUCAACAAAAAAAUAAAUGGAUGCUCUACACGAGCCCUUUUAUUUAAACAAGUGAGACGUUUUCACAAAAAGCGCAUGCAAUGAGUCGCAAGGAGAACCCUUUGUGUGAAUGGUAUUCUUGGCAACAAGACAGCGUGUGACUGCCAGUGGCCGUCCUUGGCUUAUGCAACAGAUGACUCAAAUGCUCGUGAAUCCAGCUGUGCGACUCGUGUGUUCGGCGGCAAUGAGCUCAUGCCAGCCAGAUUUUAGCGGAAAGUUGUCGUGGACAAAAUAAGUUUACAGGAAAGAGAAUUUUUUUUUUAAAUCAAAGACAUGCCACCCAUGUUAAUAAGAGUAGUUGUUAUUGGAUACAAGCAGGGACUGUUGAGGGUCUCAUAGCUUGCUUAUGCGUUCAGAUGCUAACUCGACCACAGGCCUCCUGGCUCAUAAGCAGAGAGAAGUUGGCUUAUGGAAGUGUGGUUUUAAUGAAUAAUUGUAUAUCCUCCGGUCUGUUCAAAAGUUACAAAAUGACUCAAAAUGUACGCUUCACAGCUGCAUAAUAUACACAAUAAUUCACGUGGCAUCGUUAAAUACAAAGCAAUACGACUUGCAUUUAUAAAGUGCCCAAAUGAAGCAGCAUCUCAAGAUGCUGUUUGAAAGGAGAUACAUUUAUUGAAUGUAAUCGAUGGGAAGAGAAAGUUUAUCCUUUUUACAGGUGAAGGGGGAACGUUAAUCUGAGAAUAGUACCAGGGACGAGGACUUGACAAAUGAAUACUACAUGUACAUAUCCAGAAAUGUAGGUGCAGGAGAAGCCAAUCGUAAUAAUCGAAGGUUUGGGGGAAGGAAAACCAUCUAAACAUGGAAAGCCGUUCUGAAGAAUUUUCAAUCUAAAUUUAAAGUUCAAAGCUCCAUGUGGCUUCUUAUUGUCGGAAGGAAGAGCAUUCCAGACGACCGCCGAAGUGCAUCGGAUUGCGUUACGAUGCGGUGACCACCGUCUUUGUUCAAUGGCCAGACAAAAGCCGCUGCAAGGUUGACUGUACUGUAGUUCACGUGAUGGUUUAUGCUCCUGCUAUGACGAAAUCAGCCUAAUUGACCAAAACGCCACUUAGUUCAUACUCCGGUAAUAAUGAUCUAUUCAUCCAUGAGAGUUUUACGAAGAGACCUUCUUGAGAUGUUUCACCUAUUGCUAAGUUAUAUUCGCAGAUUGGAUGAAAUCGGAGUGUCCCAUAGAAAACCCCACAAACAUGACGCUGCACAGACAGUCAGGUGGUGCAACACCGUUGAGUGUGCGCAACGCAGAUGUGUUCAAUGGGAGCGUCGUCCAGCGUUCUUUCCCGUUGUAAAGUCUUCGUUCGAUGGUUAGCCAAAAGCCGCUGCUGCGAGGAUGACCGGAGUUUGGGUGAUGGGUUUCAUGCUUCUGGACGAGAUCAACGAGGUAUUGCGGUUCAUUUGUGGCAAGCACUUUUGCGUGUAAUAAGCGUGAACAAAUGUGGAUAGCCAGACGGAGGGAGUUCCACGUUCCAACACGAUUUUCCAUGCUUUGUUGCCUUCUAGAAUGAUCUUCCGAUAUUCUGCAAGGUACCCCCCCACCCACUACUACCCUCUCCACCCCGCAGCGUGCGAGCUGUUCUCACAGUUGGCCUCCCCUUUAUCUACUGACGCUGGGUGCACAUUUUCUGCCACUUUCGGCACUUUCCUGGCUGUUUAUGUUGGCGCGGCCCGGACCCCAGAUGAUUCCUGCAGGAGACAACGGGGCCAGGGCCAAACCCUUCGGCCCGAGUCGUGGGAACAAAGGCGGCCGUUCUCCAUUCACAAACAGAGCUCCUCGUGUGCAAACAGAGCAUGCUGUGACCCUUUCAAGCCCAUCCAAUACCAAGAAAGGGGACUUGUUAGGGUUUCCUAAAUAUUUAUAAUCUGAGCAAAAUGACGGAGGUUUAUGUUACUUUUAUGUUAAGGCUGAUAUUUAAGCGCGGGUGAAUUGUGUUUAUAACCAUCAUGAUUAAAAAAAAACGAAAUGUGAAGACGAAUAAAUAUUUCUGCAUUUGUUUUAUUUGACGUAAAUUUACAGUGAACAUCUGUAUCUGGUUAUAUUUUUUGCAUGACUUCCAAGUUUAACUUAUAAAAAAAUAAGUUACACUGCAUCUUUUACAAUUUUUUUACAAAUUAUUUUGAGUCACGUGGAAUUGUUGAAAAUGAAGAAAUCACAGGGAUGACUCCGAUGUUCAACAUGAAGUUGUCUCUUGACAGAAUGUGCAUAGGCAAGAAACACAUGCAGUGUAUUUGCUUGUGCAUAACUAAUAGCUAUAUUAAAUGUAUCUACACCGACACCUUAAAAUUAAAUAUAGCCACCGAUACAGAUGUAUUCUACGCAAUUAGUCCACAAAAGUGAUAGAUUUACAAAGAGAAAAUCUCAAAAUAAUGAUAGCAGUCAGUCCGUUUAUUUUUGGAUAAGGCCGACUGAGCUUAGAAGCAAUUUUUGAAUCGAAACGUGUCUAUAGAUAUUCAAUACAUUUCUUGUUUUUGACGUUUGCUAAAAAUAAAUAAAUGAUAGCCUUUGCCAAUCUACAGCUGUCAAAUCGUGGAGGUUGUUUAACUAUACUUCACCACGCCGAUCAGUGCAGCUCAGUAAGAGUGGGCAGCCGGGGGAAGAGAAAUGGCUCAGAUAUGACUCACCACUGAUGUUAGCCGUGGCCAUAAUCGAACCAAAGUAGCCAGGUUUAUAGUGCAGUGCUUAAAAUAUUGUAGCACCGAUCAUUGAUAUUUGCUUUUACAUAUUAUGUCUAAAAAAAGAUUAGCAUUCAAUUAUAUUAUUUUCUUGAAACUUUUUUUGUACAAGGUCUCUUACAUUUACAAAUGCAUGGUUACGCAAGCGAAGAGGUUAUCAGGCCCCAUACACCCGGCCCUCUGAUUCAAUUGGGCUGAUUACGAGGACCUUUUUCGGGCAGGCUCGCCAUCAGCAGUAUUCAAUACCCUACGCCCGUGUACACUUUAUCUUCAUAAAAAGCAAUUACACAAAACGUCUGGUUGCUCUCCUCGUUUAGCAUUGACACAUCUUUAAAUACAGUAAUUGAGAUUCAGUGCAACAUUCGUAUAUUGCAUUAUGCCUUCAAUUGUCUUUGUACACAAACCACCAGACAAAGAUCCCCAGUAAAGGCUGUUUCAAAGAUGCUGGGCCACGUGCUGUUAGCGAGCACUUUUGAAGGUCAGCACGACGCACGAGGGGGUGGUAUCACGUGACCAAAUAAUCCACAAUAACUGCAUUACCAAAUUGUUCCACGGCUAACUAAAAAAAACAUUUGUUUUUGCUGCUCGCACAGAGGAAAAAGUGUGGGAUUGGAAGAAGGCCAAUCAGCAAAUACAUUUAAUUUAUUCUUGCCUCUCAGCAGAAAAAAAACAACAACCGAUAUUUCAUUGUAUAUUUCUGUGGAAACUACAUGUAAAGAUACCCCAAUUAGCCUUACAAGCUGUUAGGGCAAGUGCUUUUGGCAACAUACGUGAGGUUUAUUGCCUUUGGUCCCCCCCUCCCUCCCAGUAGUUAUGUUGAACCACGCCAGACCAAGUAGAACACAGUGCUUGUUUUAUGCCGAGUCAUUUAACAGGAGACCCAGAGCAGAUGCAGGUAGUAAUUGCAAGUAAAAAUAACACUAGAAAAAAAAUCAACGAGGGUAUCCAGAAAAGUUAUGCAACAUACUAAACACUGUACGCUAUUAUCUUGCAUUAACGAGCUACAGUGAGACACCAACACCGCAGUGAUUUGAUCAAAGGUCACAAUUAUUUUGCAAUUCCCCUCGAGUAUAAAUUCAUUUUGGUAAAAUGUUUACCUUCUCAUUGCUAUUGUUUUUCCUUUGCAAAGCUGUGUUCACUCCAUUCAUAUAAAUGUAACAUUGCCAAAAAGUUGGUGCGCACACAUUCAGAAAUAGCAAAUAAUUUAUUAUAAUAUGCAAGAUUUAAUACUUGUAUUUUGAGGAACUAAGUGCAUUGUUUCGUACCCACAAUGUAAAGUUACCACAAACUAAUUUUAUAUUCACAUUAAAACAAUACGAACUUUUAUGCUCGUAAAUUCAUUUCUCAGAACUUUUAAAAUGUGCGUUUUAUUAUUAAACAGAUUGCCCCAUGCGUGAUAUUUUCGUGUGUAUGAUAUCGGUUGCUAAUCCGUGUGUUUGUUUGCCUGGAACAGGUCCCUGCAGGGUGGGCUGGUAGGACAAGUCUCUGCGCUGUCUAUUGCUGAUUUUACACCCAACAGCACGAGAUUUCACUUCGUUAAAGUAUUGAAAGGGGACGGACGGACGGACACAUUAAUCUAUUGCAGGCUGGUACACUCAGUUUACAACUUCGUUCCUACCAGUAUAACUCAGUUUUGACCGCUCCACUCAUUUCAAGAAACGAGCGAUUCGUUAGCUGAUGUUAGGCAUCUCAUAUGAACGAGGUCAAUAUUCAGAGGAGGAAAAUAAAAAAAAAUCCCUCUUGCCUUCAUAAUUCAGUGUAUACAAAAAAAUCACUGAAUCGGCUUGUCGGUCUUGCACUGCUUAUCUUACGUACACUAUAAAAAUAACCAGGAGCGUGAUGUGAACCCUGGCUAAACAAAACAAAUCACGGCAAACAGACGCGGCACCGGCAAACUGUUGAAUCUCUACGGGGCUCCAUCACGAAGCUGCCGUACACUAAGCGAGAUGGCGACGUGUCUGGUGGUCAGCCGACGCGACGGAGGCUUGGUGGCGAUGGAGCGUCUCUCGUUUGGCGAGCCGAGCCUGCUGCUGGUCGUGCGACACGUCUCCCCAUGCACGCCGGCGACUCGCGCGCUCGUCCGGCUCGCGGUGUUCCAGCCAGGGGCCAUGAACGGAAGCUGUUAAUGAUGAGUUUGCGAGACGGGAGCUCCAGAAGGAGUGGCGGAGGUUCAAGUGUUAAAUUGUGCAGGACAUCGUCAUCGCUCUUGGUAUUCGCCCUGGCCAUGGCAAGUGGAGCCAGGCUUGGCCACGACCCGGUGCAGCUAGCGAGCCACCCGAAGGCACACAGUGGCAACCUCCCAGCGAUUUGAGGCAGGGAGUAAAAAAAACGCAAAAGCUUUCACCUCGCCAUAAUCUAUAACCUCCAUGGCCUCUUGUUCCCUCGCCUCAUGCUGUCUCCCCCCCACCACUGCACCCAGUUACCGCACAACCCUAACCGGAAACUGACCUGCUGAUGACGAAGGUGACAGGGAAAUGACACGACUUAUUUUUGCACGUCAUUUGCUGACUGGGUAAGGAGUCCCUGGAGUCUGAUGGCACAAUGUAACUUGAGAGGCACCAUGGUGACAUGUUAACUUCCUCGCCUGGUAUGCAGGAGGUCGUGGGAUCGAUACCAGUCAUUAUGCCUGUAUAUAUUGAGUUUGCAUGCCUCUCUCCCCAUGGUCGUGUGGAUUUUUCUCCGGGUCCUUCGGGUUUUCCCUCCAAAUUUAGAA
This is a non-coding RNA of Petromyzon marinus (sea lamprey), 7360 nucleotides long. Lineage: Eukaryota; Metazoa; Chordata; Hyperoartia; Petromyzontiformes; Petromyzontidae. The record is from RefSeq and is a predicted model, not a curated record.